AGCGUACACGGUGGAUGCCCUGGCAGUCAGAGGCGAUGAAGGACGUGCUAAUCUGCGAUAAGCGUCGGUAAGGUGAUAUGAACCGUUAUAACCGGCGAUUUCCGAAUGGGGAAACCCAGUGUGAUUCGUCACACUAUCAUUAACUGAAUCCAUAGGUUAAUGAGGCGAACCGGGGGAACUGAAACAUCUAAGUACCCCGAGGAAAAGAAAUCAACCGAGAUUCCCCCAGUAGCGGCGAGCGAACGGGGAGGAGCCCAGAGCCUGAAUCAGUGUGUGUGUUAGUGGAAGCGUCUGGAAAGGCGCGCGAUACAGGGUGACAGCCCCGUACACAAAAAUGCACAUGCUGUGAGCUCGAUGAGUAGGGCGGGACACGUGGUAUCCUGUCUGAAUAUGGGGGGACCAUCCUCCAAGGCUAAAUACUCCUGACUGACCGAUAGUGAACCAGUACCGUGAGGGAAAGGCGAAAAGAACCCCGGCGAGGGGAGUGAAAAAGAACCUGAAACCGUGUACGUACAAGCAGUGGGAGCACGCUUAGGCGUGUGACUGCGUACCUUUUGUAUAAUGGGUCAGCGACUUAUAUUCUGUAGCAAGGUUAACCGAAUAGGGGAGCCGAAGGGAAACCGAGUCUUAACUGGGCGUUAAGUUGCAGGGUAUAGACCCGAAACCCGGUGAUCUAGCCAUGGGCAGGUUGAAGGUUGGGUAACACUAACUGGAGGACCGAACCGACUAAUGUUGAAAAAUUAGCGGAUGACUUGUGGCUGGGGGUGAAAGGCCAAUCAAACCGGGAGAUAGCUGGUUCUCCCCGAAAGCUAUUUAGGUAGCGCCUCGUGAAUUCAUCUCCGGGGGUAGAGCACUGUUUCGGCAAGGGGGUCAUCCCGACUUACCAACCCGAUGCAAACUGCGAAUACCGGAGAAUGUUAUCACGGGAGACACACGGCGGGUGCUAACGUCCGUCGUGAAGAGGGAAACAACCCAGACCGCCAGCUAAGGUCCCAAAGUCAUGGUUAAGUGGGAAACGAUGUGGGAAGGCCCAGACAGCCAGGAUGUUGGCUUAGAAGCAGCCAUCAUUUAAAGAAAGCGUAAUAGCUCACUGGUCGAGUCGGCCUGCGCGGAAGAUGUAACGGGGCUAAACCAUGCACCGAAGCUGCGGCAGCGACGCUUAUGCGUUGUUGGGUAGGGGAGCGUUCUGUAAGCCUGCGAAGGUGUGCUGUGAGGCAUGCUGGAGGUAUCAGAAGUGCGAAUGCUGACAUAAGUAACGAUAAAGCGGGUGAAAAGCCCGCUCGCCGGAAGACCAAGGGUUCCUGUCCAACGUUAAUCGGGGCAGGGUGAGUCGACCCCUAAGGCGAGGCCGAAAGGCGUAGUCGAUGGGAAACAGGUUAAUAUUCCUGUACUUGGUGUUACUGCGAAGGGGGGACGGAGAAGGCUAUGUUGGCCGGGCGACGGUUGUCCCGGUUUAAGCGUGUAGGCUGGUUUUCCAGGCAAAUCCGGAAAACUAAGGCUGAGGCGUGAUGACGAGGCACUACGGUGCUGAAGCAACAAAUGCCCUGCUUCCAGGAAAAGCCUCUAAGCAUCAGGUAACAUCAAAUCGUACCCCAAACCGACACAGGUGGUCAGGUAGAGAAUACCAAGGCGCUUGAGAGAACUCGGGUGAAGGAACUAGGCAAAAUGGUGCCGUAACUUCGGGAGAAGGCACGCUGAUAUGUAGGUGAAGUCCCUCGCGGAUGGAGCUGAAAUCAGUCGAAGAUACCAGCUGGCUGCAACUGUUUAUUAAAAACACAGCACUGUGCAAACACGAAAGUGGACGUAUACGGUGUGACGCCUGCCCGGUGCCGGAAGGUUAAUUGAUGGGGUUAGCGCAAGCGAAGCUCUUGAUCGAAGCCCCGGUAAACGGCGGCCGUAACUAUAACGGUCCUAAGGUAGCGAAAUUCCUUGUCGGGUAAGUUCCGACCUGCACGAAUGGCGUAAUGAUGGCCAGGCUGUCUCCACCCGAGACUCAGUGAAAUUGAACUCGCUGUGAAGAUGCAGUGUACCCGCGGCAAGACGGAAAGACCCCGUGAACCUUUACUAUAGCUUGACACUGAACAUUGAGCCUUGAUGUGUAGGAUAGGUGGGAGGCUUUGAAGUGUGGACGCCAGUCUGCAUGGAGCCGACCUUGAAAUACCACCCUUUAAUGUUUGAUGUUCUAACGUUGACCCGUAAUCCGGGUUGCGGACAGUGUCUGGUGGGUAGUUUGACUGGGGCGGUCUCCUCCUAAAGAGUAACGGAGGAGCACGAAGGUUGGCUAAUCCUGGUCGGACAUCAGGAGGUUAGUGCAAUGGCAUAAGCCAGCUUGACUGCGAGCGUGACGGCGCGAGCAGGUGCGAAAGCAGGUCAUAGUGAUCCGGUGGUUCUGAAUGGAAGGGCCAUCGCUCAACGGAUAAAAGGUACUCCGGGGAUAACAGGCUGAUACCGCCCAAGAGUUCAUAUCGACGGCGGUGUUUGGCACCUCGAUGUCGGCUCAUCACAUCCUGGGGCUGAAGUAGGUCCCAAGGGUAUGGCUGUUCGCCAUUUAAAGUGGUACGCGAGCUGGGUUUAGAACGUCGUGAGACAGUUCGGUCCCUAUCUGCCGUGGGCGCUGGAGAACUGAGGGGGGCUGCUCCUAGUACGAGAGGACCGGAGUGGACGCAUCACUGGUGUUCGGGUUGUCAUGCCAAUGGCACUGCCCGGUAGCUAAAUGCGGAAGAGAUAAGUGCUGAAAGCAUCUAAGCACGAAACUUGCCCCGAGAUGAGUUCUCCCUGACUCCUUGA
Molecule: ribosomal RNA, 2787 nt
Filed under: Escherichia coli
Lineage: Bacteria; Pseudomonadati; Pseudomonadota; Gammaproteobacteria; Enterobacterales; Enterobacteriaceae
Description: bacterial LSU rRNA
Rfam family: Bacterial large subunit ribosomal RNA
Source: RNAcentral